This is a long non-coding RNA of Acanthochromis polyacanthus (spiny chromis), 402 nucleotides long. RefSeq lists it as uncharacterized. Lineage: Eukaryota; Metazoa; Chordata; Actinopteri; Pomacentridae. The record is from RefSeq and is a predicted model, not a curated record. The transcript is spliced from 3 exons.
GGCCUCCUUCAGAACCCAGAACAGAACCAGAGCCAGGUACAUGCGGGUCACCACGGUCUGGUCUACGCUCUGGAACACAACCAGGAUUUAUUAGAACCAGAACAGAACCAGAGCCAGGUACAUGCGGGUCACCACGGUCUGGUCUACGCUCUGGAGCACAACCAGGAUUUAUUAGAACCAGAACAGAACCAGAGCCAGGUACAUGCGGGUCACCACGGUCUGGUCUACGCUCUGGAACACAACCAGGAUUUAUUAGAACCAGAACAGAACCAGAGCCAGGUACAUGCGGGUCACCACGGUCUGGUCUACGCUCUGGAACACAACCAGGAUUUAUUAGAACCAGAACAGAACCAGAGCCAGGUACAUGCGGGUCACCACGGUCUGGUCUACGCUCUGGAACAC